ACAAAGCAGCCCAAGGCAGUCUUCACAACAUUCAGCCUAAGCAGAGCACGCUGCUACCCAGCAGCCUCAUCCUUGAGCGCUCUCCCUCCCUCAUCUCUCCUCUGAUGCCUGCCUCCUUCCUCAGGGCCUGGAGAGAAAUCAUGAGAUGUGCUGGUAUUCUGCUGUGCAAGGAGAGCAGAGCAACUCAAAAAAAACACAGCCACUUGUAAAAGCAGGAAAGUAGGCAACAGGUUUGCUUUCCUAGCUGAGUUCAGGAACGAUACCCAACAACAGCCUGUUGUACUUUCCUGUCUACUUGGCCAUCUAUAACCUCUGAACAGCAACAACAUGGAAUCUGGGCAACAUGUGUGCCAGCUAGCUGCUGCAGCUGCUGCAGAAGGGCAGCCAGGCAGCUGGAAGCUGCAGACAGAAUGAGGUCACCCUGCCCCCUCGCAGCAUCAUCCUCAUGGAGCUGGGGCUGUACCCAAGGGGCAGGGAGCUCACCGGGAAGCAGGAUGGGAGAAUGGGACACCUAAAUUCAGAAUAUGAGCUGCAGAGGUACGAUGUGAACUGGACCAUCAGGAGGAAAGCCACCAUAGCACUCUCAACCCAUGAGUCAGCAAACCCCUGCCUCUCUUCUCUCUGCUGACUCAGACAAAUCUCGGAAGGGGGCAAGUCCAAAACUGCAUGACAUGACUUGUCCUUGCAUCUCCCUGGCAAUUACCCACUUACCACCGCACUGUCAGCAAUUGUGGCCAUUGGGCCAGACAAGAAACAAUAAAAAAGAUGUCUGGGGAAAAA
Non-coding RNA from Phasianus colchicus (ring-necked pheasant), 780 nucleotides. The record is from RefSeq and is a predicted model, not a curated record. Lineage: Eukaryota; Metazoa; Chordata; Aves; Galliformes; Phasianidae.